Long non-coding RNA from Dermochelys coriacea (leatherback sea turtle), 199 nucleotides. RefSeq lists it as uncharacterized. The transcript is spliced from 3 exons. Lineage: Eukaryota; Metazoa; Chordata; Testudines; Dermochelyidae. The record is from RefSeq and is a predicted model, not a curated record.
CUGCUUCGCGUUCUUCUCAUGGAACUAUAUUGACUCACCUCAUUCCCUGGAUAAAUCAUGGAUUUGAUCCUCAAGGAAUCCUUUUGAAGUACCUGGAGGAGAGGAAGGUGAUCAGGAACAGUCAACAUGGAUUCACCAAUAGCAAGUCAUGCCUGACCAACCUGAUUGCCUUCUAUGAUGAAAUAACUGGCUCUGUGGA